AUGUAUAUAUUUCGAUAUCUAACGCAACCAUAACAUUCAAAUUUACUUUUUACUUCAAUUCCCUAUACAUGCCAUAUAAAUCCAAAAAGUUGCUUAACAUAAACUACCGGAGUAUAUCUGGAUAGUGUGAUUCUUGAUGUAGAUCCGAUCCUCCGAAUGUAUAAAUACGUUAAUCUACAAAAACAAUAAACACACACAUGUAAGCUUAUAGAAAAGCUUAGUAAGUUCAUAGGCAUAAAACAUAAAUCUUACCAAACACUUGUACACUUAUACAAUAUACACCAUUACUAAAUUUACCUGUCAACCACAAUCUUUGGUGAGUUCCUUGGUAUAAACUCACUACUACUUAUUCUUUUACCAUAAUUCCUUUGGGCCCAUUUGUCACUUACCAUCCUUGAUCAAAAUGAAGGAACGGUUACGGAAAAUUGAGUACUUCAUUUUCACUUUGACAUAUGACCUCUUAUCACUUGUCCUUGAUCAGAUAAGUGUAGCUAGGCUACCACUUAUCACUUUGCCACUUGAUCAGAUAAGUGUAGCUGAAGCUACCACUUAUCACUUUAUCACUUGAUCAGAUAAGUGUAUCCACUUAUCACUUUGUCUCUUGAUCAGAUAAGUGUAACCACUUAUCACUUUGUUUCUUGAUUAGAUAAGUGUAACCACUUAUCACUUUGUUUCUUGAUCAGAUAAGUGUAGCCACUUAUCACUUUGUCACUUGAUCAGAUAAGUGUAGCUAAAACUACCACUUAUCACUUUGUCACUUGAUCAGAAGUACUCAAAUCUGGCGUUCCACUUAAUUUGAUCAUUUAUUCGAUUUUCACAUUUUUAUUUUAUUCUCAUUUCAACAAUAAAUACAUUUCAUCAUACAUUGUAUAAUUCAUGAAAUUAACAUUUAAUCAUUAAAUUUCAGCCAUAUGAACUUACCUGGAUCGAUUUGCAGAAUUUGUAAAAGUUCAGGGACUAAUCGGCUACUUUUUCUUUUCCUCGACUU
This 988-nucleotide long non-coding RNA is filed under the name Gossypium raimondii (Peruvian cotton). RNAcentral's name for it is "long non-coding RNA (GRAI_LNC006988)". The record is from RNAcentral. Lineage: Eukaryota; Viridiplantae; Streptophyta; Magnoliopsida; Malvales; Malvaceae.